Molecule: RNase P RNA, 347 nt
Filed under: Muribaculaceae bacterium
Lineage: Bacteria; Pseudomonadati; Bacteroidota; Bacteroidia; Bacteroidales; Muribaculaceae
Description: partial RNase P RNA component class A
Rfam family: Bacterial RNase P class A
About the family: Ribonuclease P (RNase P) is a ubiquitous endoribonuclease, found in archaea, bacteria and eukarya as well as chloroplasts and mitochondria.
Source: RNAcentral
UGAGGAAAGCCCGGGCAACACAGAGCGCCAUAUUUCCUAACGGGAAGCUGGCGGCGACGGCAGAGUAACGUGACAGAAAACAACCGCCCCCGCCUCAGUGCGGGAGCAAGGGUGAAAAGGUGAGGUAAGAGCUCACCGGACGGGAUAGCGAUAUUUCGUGCCGCACGCCUUAUGGGUUGCAAGGUCAAGUAUACCGGCAUUUAAGGAUUGCUCGUCCAUUGUCGGGGGGUAGACUGCUAAAUGCGCGGCUUGCCGCGCUCAGAUAAAUGACGGGCCGGAACAGUGGCCCUCCGCUUGCGGGGGAAGUGCCGUUCCGACAUAACCCGGCUUAUAGCCCGACUGCUUUU